CGUACACUCCUACGGGAGGCAGCAGUGGGGAAUAUUGCACAAUGGGCGCAAGCCUGAUGCAGCCAUGCCGCGUGUAUGAAGAAGGCCUUCGGGUUGUAAAGUACUUUCAGCGGGGAGGAAGGCGAUAAGGUUAAUAACCUUGUCGAUUGACGUUACCCGCAGAAGAAGCACCGGCUAACUCCGUGCCAGCAGCCGCGGUAAUACGGAGGGUGCAAGCGUUAAUCGGAAUUACUGGGCGUAAAGCGCACGCAGGCGGUCUGUCAAGUCGGAUGUGAAAUCCCCGGGCUCAACCUGGGAACUGCAUUCGAAACUGGCAGGCUAGAGUCUUGUAGAGGGGGGUAGAAUUCCAGGUGUAGCGGUGAAAUGCGUAGAGAUCUGGAGGAAUACCGGUGGCGAAGGCGGCCCCCUGGACAAAGACUGACGCUCAGGUGCGAAAGCGUGGGGAGCAAACAGGAUUAGAAACCCUGGUAGUCCCA
This 476-nucleotide ribosomal RNA is filed under the name uncultured organism. Its description in RNAcentral is "partial 16S ribosomal RNA". It matches the Rfam family "Bacterial small subunit ribosomal RNA", at positions 330 to 797 of the family's 1533-position model. The record is from RNAcentral.